Molecule: ribosomal RNA, 438 nt
Filed under: Thermococcus sp. GR4
Lineage: Archaea; Methanobacteriati; Methanobacteriota; Thermococci; Thermococcales; Thermococcaceae
Description: bacterial SSU rRNA
Rfam family: Archaeal small subunit ribosomal RNA
Source: RNAcentral
GGCGCCUUGCGCGCACCGGCGGACGGCUCAGUAACACGUCGGUAACCUACCCUCGGGAGGGGGAUAACCCCGGGAAACUGGGGCUAAUCCCCCAUAGGCCUGAGGUACUGGAAGGUCCUCAGGCCGAAAGGGGCUUCUGCCCGCCCGAGGAUGGGCCGGCGGCCGAUUAGGUAGUUGGUGGGGUAACGGCCCACCAAGCCGAAGAUCGGUACGGGCCAUGAGAGUGGGAGCCCGGAGAUGGACACUGAGACACGGGUCCAGGCCCUACGGGGCGCAGCAGGCGCGAAACCUCCGCAAUGCGGGAAACCGCGACGGGGGGACCCCCAGUGCCGUGGCAUCGCCACGGCUUUUCCGGAGUGUAAAAAGCUCCGGGAAUAAGGGCUGGGCAAGGCCGGUGGCAGCCGCCGCGGUAAUACCGGCGGCCCGAGUGGUGGCCGC